Molecule: RNA transcript, 3840 nt
Organism: Helianthus annuus (common sunflower)
Lineage: Eukaryota; Viridiplantae; Streptophyta; Magnoliopsida; Asterales; Asteraceae
Gene name: sister chromatid cohesion protein PDS5 homolog A
Exons: 24
Source: RefSeq, a predicted model, not a curated record
UGUUGAAAAACCUAAAUUUCCCUCUCAAAACACACACUUUUCCCGCUCUCGUGCUCCCAACGGCGACAAUGGCGGAUUCCGACGGUAAAGCUGCAAAAGACCUAAUUCGCGACGUCGGCAAACAACUCUCUGCGAAGAAGGAAUGUCCUCACAAAGACCUCCUUGUUAAGCUACUCCGUCAAGCGGCAAGUGCACUGCCAAAGUUAAAAACACAAUCAGAUUUGCUAAAGCCUAAUAUAAAGCCCUUGAGCGAUUCUAUAUUGAAGCAUGGCUUGCUGAAGCAAAAGGACAAAGAUGUGCGACUUUUGGUUUCCAUAUGUGUUUGUGAAAUACUUAGGAUCCUUGCUCCAAAUCCUGGCUUUAGUGAUGCAGAUCUCAGGAGCAUAUAUCAACUCUUAUUGGGUAUGUUCGGGGAGCUCGUUGACACCAAAAGUCCAUAUUACUCAAGGAGGGUAGAGCUAUUGGAGACUGUUUCAAAAUACAAUUUCUGUGUGUUAAUGUUAGAUAUAGGAUGUGAAGAUUUAGUUCUGAAGAUGUUCAAUAUAUUUUUUGGUGUGAUAAGGAAAGAGCAUUCUUCAAAUGUAUUUGGUGCAAUGUCAUCGAUAAUGUCAGCUAUUCUAAAGGAGAAAGUUUCUCAAGCACUUAUGGAAGUAAUUUUGCGUAAUCUUUUGAAGGACAAAAAGGACGCAUCUCCAGCUUCUUUUCAGCUAGCUGUUUCUGUUAUUGAUGAUUGCAGUCAGACUCUUGAACCGUUUGUUUGUCGUUUUCUCAACCGUUGUAUUUUGGAUCGAGACAAUGUUAAUAGUGAGCUCAAAGAAUCGUAUCAUGAUAUCAUAUACGAAAUCAUUCAGUGUGCUCCACAAAUGCUUGUUGCUGUAGUAGAAAACUUAUCUCAGGAACUACUGACUGAACAGGUUGAUGUUCGGAUAACGGCUAUCAAGUUUGUUGGAAAACUUUUUUCAAUUCCCGGAUGUCACAUUGCGCAAGAGUACCACCAUCUAUUCGCAGAGUUUAUAAAUAGAUUCGCUGAUAAGUCUAGUGCAGUUAGACUUAAUGCUGUAUUAUGUGCUAAAUCUUUUUACUUAUUUAAUCCACCAGGCGACAAUUCCACUACAGUUCUGUCUGCCCUUGAAGGUCGCCUUUUAGACUUCGACGAUAAAGUGAGAACACAAGCAGUUGCAGUGGUGUGUGAUCUUGCAAAGUCGAAUCUCAGACCUGUACCACCUGAAAUGAUAACUCAAGCUGCUAAAAGAUUACGUGAUAAAAAGACAUCUGUUAGAAAGAAAGCGUUGCAAAUGCUACUAGACGUCUAUCAUGAUUAUUGUGUUAAAUGUUCUGAAGGCAUCAUCAAAUUAAGUGUUGACUUUGAACAAAUACCUUGUGGUAUUCUGUUACUUUGCUAUGACAAGGAUGUGGAGUUUGGCGUUCAGAACAUAGAACAUGUGCUUGAAGAGGAUUUGUUUCCCGUUUCACUUUCAGUUGAGGAGAGGAUUAGGCACUGGAUAUUUUUGUUUUCACAUUCGGUUUCCGCUUACAAGGAUGGCAUGUUUACCGCUGCUCAUGAGAAGGCACUGACUGCUGUUUUGUGUCAGAAAAAAAGGUUGCAACUUGAGAUGCAGAGUUACCUAGAUCUCCGGACAAAAGAAAAGCAGAAUGUCUCUGAAAGAGGCGAAGAAAAAAUCAAAAAGUUGUUUGCAAAAAUGUCAACAUGCUUCCCUGUAAAAGUCAAAGCAGAAGAGUGCUUUAAUAAGUUACAUUUGGUGAAAGAUGUUGGCCUUUUUAACACCUUCAAAGAGAUUUUGAAUGAACCGGAGUUUGGAAGUUCACAGAUCAUCAGAGAUAAUUUUGUCAAGAAGAUCAAGGACCUGCACACAGAUUUUGAAUUUCUACAAUUACUCGCGACAAAAUGUUCAUUUAAUUUAUUCAGUUCUGAUCACGUGAGGUGUAUACUUGAUAAUCUCUCCGAAAACAAAUUUGGACAGGCCAAUUUAAAGAAGGCUUGUGUGGCACUUCUUAUGAUUAUUGUUAAUGCUUUCCCGCUACUUCUGAGAGGUUCUGAAGAGCCAUUCUGCACACUGUUGUUAGAAGAGAAAUCACCAUUCUGUAAUGAGCUGCUUCAAAUGUUGGUAAAAGCUGGACCUCAUAUUUCUGUUGACCUCAGUGUUAUCUACCCUUUCUUAGAGAGGAUCUGUCUGAACGGAACUCGUGCUCAGGCCAAGCUUGCAAUCUCCGCCAUCAGUGAAUUAAUUGUUACUUCUCAGCAGUUCACUUUCUCUUACCUGUGCAAGACACUCGUCGAUGCUCUUGAAAGUGGGCAGCAUACCCCUGCAGUUUUGCAAUCUUUGGGUUGCAUGGCUCAGCAUUCUGUAUCUGCGUUUGAAUCCCAUGCUGAAGAGAUCACACGUUAUAUAUUUGACAACAUCUUUUCCGGUCUAGAAUCUGACUCCAGUGCUUCUUGCAAAUUGAAGAUAUUUGGGCUUAAAACACUCGUCAAAAGCUUUUUGCCACAUCAGCGUACAGGUGUUACUCGUCAAAUUGAUGAAGUACUUGGCAUUGUAUCACAAAUGCUUCUAAGGGCUGAGAUUUCUAAAGGCACACUCUCCUGUAAAAAGGACAAAGAUCAUCUAAGAUUAGCCGCAGCUACAUCCGUUCUUCAGCUUUCCCAAUUAUGGGACUCACAUAUUCCCGCGGAUAUUUACCGUGAAACAGUCUUGAUGGCCAAGGACCAUUCUACUCUGGUACGGAAAUCGUUCAUCAAGAAAACAUUUAAGCUUUUAAAGAAUAACUUCCUUCAUUGUAAAUAUCUCUGUGCUUUUGCAUUGGCUGCUUCUGAUACGUUCGAUGGUUCACCAAAAGAUGAUUCGCUAAAUUAUAUGGCAGAAAUUAUAAAGAUCCGUCACUUAGAAGCUAAAGUGAAGCGUGAUGCAACAGAUAAUCCUGUAUGUUCAAUGAUAUUUUUAAUCCACAUUCUUGCCCAUGAUACCAAGUUUCCGUCACAAGAUCCCGAAAACGAAGAGAAUUCUGGUCCCUUUUUCAGCCCGCUUGUUUUUACUAUGGAUACACUACUCAAUCCGUCUUUUGUAGAUGGUGAUAUGAAUCGAAUCCAUACAGUUGUUUCUGAAUUGCAUAAUAUAUUUAAUGCUAUCAAGAUGGCCGAGGAUGCACUUGAUGUUGCGAAAACCUCUAGGCUGCAUGUUCUAGCUAACUUUGGAUCCAAGUAUCUUGUUACUAAAAAUAGCGGAAGGCCUGUGUCACACACUCCGACCAAUAUCUUACUGCCUGCAUUACUUUAUAAAAAAGGCAAUGCCAAACAAAGAGAACGUGCUAGAAGUACUAAGAGUUCGCGCAAAAGUUUAGACGAUAAUGCAUUCGAUGAUGGUCAAUUGCACAAAAGAAGCAAGACUCUGAAUGCACACAAAAAAAACUCGCAUGAAACUCAAAAGCAGACCGUAUCUGGUGACAAAGAGAAGCAGGACUUUAUUUCUCCAGAAUCAAUUACAUGCCUUGUGUAGCAGAAAAGCCUUCAUCUCAGGAGGAUUCUUCAAGUGGUGACUGGGCUUUGGGAUAAUUACUGCAUAAAGGAAAUACCUUGUAAUGGAAAUGGCAAGCUAGCUGUGUAUUUAGAAAGAUGUAUCAUGUUUUAACAUAUAGCUUAUAAGGAAAGAGACGUUACGACUUACAACUAAUGUUGACCGUAUACCCAUCUGGCUCGUGUCAGAGUUAAGAUUUAUGUAAUUAUGCUGUUUUUGAGUCAAUUUUUAAGGAUGAUAUUUUAUAUGUUAGAUGAGAUGUGGUUAAACGAGUUGGCUUGAGGUUAAUACGAGAUUAGUUUUUAACUUG